CGUUAGGCUUGGCCGGGGAGCUUGGCGUGCCCUGAACACGCAAUCGUCACAGCGUGGGCGACUGGAGGGGGCGGCGGAGCGGAAACGGCCGGCCCUUCGAACGACGAUGAUACUUUGUCCUGCAGAGUUGGAGUACGCGUCCUUCGUUCCCGGAGGGGAUCGCGGAGCGCGCCAAUCGGGGGGACCGGGCCAGGCCCUGACGGGAGCAGCCUAACCUCGAGCUACCGACGUUUGCGGGGAUACAGGGUUGAGGAGGGAGAUGGAUUACCGGCCGCGGAAGUGACGUCCACCUUUCCGUGCCUAACA
This is a non-coding RNA of Candidatus Methanomethylophilus sp. 1R26, 306 nucleotides long. It matches the Rfam family "Archaeal signal recognition particle RNA". NCBI's taxonomy places the organism in Archaea, Methanobacteriati, Thermoplasmatota, Thermoplasmata, Methanomassiliicoccales, Methanomethylophilaceae. The record is from Rfam.